This 253-nucleotide ribosomal RNA is filed under the name uncultured bacterium. RNAcentral describes it as "partial 16S ribosomal RNA". It matches the Rfam family "Bacterial small subunit ribosomal RNA", at positions 524 to 776 of the family's 1533-position model. The record is from RNAcentral.
UACGAAGGGUGCAAACGUUGCUCGGAAUCAUUGGGCGUAAAGCGCACGUAGGCGGCCUUGCAAGUCGGAUGUGAAAUCCCACGGCUCAACCGUGGACGUGCAUCCGAAACUGCUCGGCUCGAGUAUGGAAGAGGGUCGCGGAAUUCCCGGUGUAGAGGUGAAAUUCGUAGAUAUCUGGAGGAACACCGGUGGCGAAGGCGGCAUCCUGGACCGGCAUUGACGCUGAGGCGCGAAAGCCAGGGGAGCAAACGGG